Molecule: ribosomal RNA, 505 nt
Filed under: uncultured soil bacterium
Lineage: Bacteria
Description: bacterial SSU rRNA
Rfam family: Bacterial small subunit ribosomal RNA
Source: RNAcentral
AGGAUUAACGCUGGCGGCGUGCAUGAGACAUGCAAGUCGAACGGACGAUCAGGGCUUGCUCUGAUCGUUAGUGGCGGACGGCUGAGUAACGCGUAGGUGACCUGCCCCGAAGUGGGGGAUAACUGCCCGAAAGGGUGGCUAAUACCGCAUGCGGAGGUUCGUUCAAUCGAACCUUCAAAGCAGCAAUGCGCUUCGGGAGGGGCCUGCGUCCGAUUAGCUCGUUGGUGGGGUAACGGCUCACCAAGGCGGCGAUCGGUAGGUGGUCUGAGAGGACGAUCACCCAGACUGGGACUGAGACACGGCCCAGACUCCUACGGGAGGCAGCAGUCGGGAAUUUGCGCAAUGGGCGAAAGCCUGACGCAGCAACGCCGCGUGAGGGAUGACGGCCUUCGGGUUGUAACCUCUUUAUCGAGGACGAUGAUGACGGUACUGAUAGAAUAAGCCGACGGACUAACGUACGUCGCCAGCACGACCGCGGUAAUCGUAGGAGCGGGCGUCGGACGAA